Rhinolophus ferrumequinum (greater horseshoe bat) is the source of this 2151-nucleotide long non-coding RNA. RefSeq lists it as uncharacterized. The record is from RefSeq and is a predicted model, not a curated record. The transcript is spliced from 3 exons. Lineage: Eukaryota; Metazoa; Chordata; Mammalia; Chiroptera; Rhinolophidae.
CCCUCUGGCCCUGGAGCCUGAGAGACAGAAAAUGGGAUUUCUGUUUCCAGCCCAGUGGUACAGGCUGUCCCCUGGGGGAUCUGGCGUGGGGCAUCCCAGGGGACACUAACGCUGCUGGUCUUCAGACCACACUGGGAGUUGUGAGGCGCCUUUCCAGGAUACCCUGAAGGGUGCCUGUCACUCUGAAGAGUGACAACCCGGCACAUCUCGGACACGCAUUUUCUCUCUGAGCCUUGGUUUCCUAAUGAACGAAAGCCAGUUGAUAUUCCCUAGAUGGUAAGGAAGCUUCUACCAUCAACUUCAGGCUGCCUCACGAUUGCCCAGAGUGCUACUGAAAAAUACAGACUUCAUGUUUCUACCCCAGAGAUUCGGACUCACUGGUGUUGAUCAAGACUCAUUUUCAUGAAGCCCCUCAGUCGAUUCUCUUGGGCAACGAGGUUGGGGAAGGAAGGAAGUCUUGUCAGCCUCCGACUAUGAAGGUGGCAUAAACAUCUGUCACGGUGCCUGCUGCAGAAUAAGGAAAAGAGACGUCUGGAGAAUUAACCUGUGAGGCACAAGACAUGGGCUGCGGCAGCCCAGAAAGUCUCCACUCGGGUCUCCUUCGAGUAUAAUUGCCGCAGGAAGCGCAGUUCACGGACAGCCCCAACCACCAACUCUUUGGAAGAAUGAGUGAGCAUGGCACCAGUGCCAAUCUCUUUCUCCCUUUCCCACUGGACAAUCUUGGCUCAGGGUCACUCAACCCGGGAGAUGCCAGCUGCUGUGUGGGGAUGCUCGAGCAGCUCUAUGGAGACAUCCAUAUGCCAAGGAACUGGAGCUUCUGCCAACAACCAGCCAUACCCUGUCAAGCACGUGACAAUUCAUCGUGGAAGGCGAUCCUCUAGUCCCAGGCAAGCCUUCAAAUGACCGCAGUCCCAGCCGAAAUUUUGACAACAAUCUCUCAAGAGACCCUCACCCAUCAGCACCCAGCUAAGAUGCUUCUGGAUUUCUGACCCACAAACACAAUGUGAGAUAAUACAUGUUUAAUGAUGUUUUAAGCCACUAAAUUUGGGAGCAAUUACAUAGUAACAGAUACCCAAUGCAGGGGGACACUUUAGGUUCUGCUUAUCUGGCUUCAACAUUAGCUUUCUUACUCAAACGAAGAUGAAAAACAAACAAGUAAACAACAACUUAGGCAUUUUGUUUAUUUGUCAAUAAAUAUCAAAUAACUAGUAUGGGUCAGGUAUUAUAAUUUCAAUAAGUUACAUUAGGUAUGCAUUAUUACUUAUCAACUGAAUUAUGGGAAUAAAAUUGUACCUAUGAUACAAAGUUUUUAUGAGAAUUAAAUGAGAGAAUGCACGUAAAACGUUUUUCAAUGCCUGACACAUAGUUGACACUGAAUAAAUGUUAGUAAUGAGAAUAAGAAUUAGUAAUAACAACAAUGAUUAUUAUUUUGUUGUUGUUAUUAAUUAUUAUUGUUGUUAUUAUUAAUUCUUGUGCUCAGGCCAUUAAGUUGAGCAAGGUCCUGGAAGGUACGGAGCAGAUCAGGACUCGAACCCACGUCUAUUUCAUUCCACUUUCCCUGCUCUUAAUAAUGAAGUGGUUGCAACUGUAUUGUGUACUAUUGACCGAAACACUGUACUGGACAUUUGGGACAGAAAGGGAAAUAAGCAUUCUCCUGCCUCACGCUCUUAUAGUGAAGUAAAUAAAGGCAACUUGUAUUUUAUUAAGUGUAACCAAUUCUGCAAAGCGCCAGGAUGGAAAUCCACACAGCGUGGAGUGAGGGCACAAAGAAGAAAGCGAGCAGUCAGCUGCUUUGCCUUAGUUCUGCCUGUAGCCUUUGCUGACCCAGGCCCUUCGGAACCUCAUCUCUUCCACCCUAAGCCUUCUAACCCACCUCCUCAUUGUUUUCCUCCGACCACACCAAACUUUCUAAUCCCUGAUAUGCUCUCCUACACUGUGACCACUCACAGACUGAAGUGCUCACUCCCAUUAUUCAGAAACCAGCACGCUGCAUGGGGGACUAUGGCUUCUGAAAGGUGGCACUUCUGGGGCUGUGAUGACAGGUUUGGGCACAAACGUUGGUGACUGCCACCUGAGCCCCUGUGGCUUGCUGCAGCAGGGCCUCCUGCCUCGGUCUCAACCUUGGGUGAAGCGAAGGAGGUGAACAGUUCA